UACGGGGGGGGCAAGCGUUGUUCGGAAUUACUGGGCGUAAAGGGCUCGUAGGCGGCCAACUAAGUCAGACGUGAAAUCCCCAGGCUCAACCUGGGAACUGCGUCUGAUACUGGAUGGCUUGAAUCCGGGAGAGGGAUGCAGAAUUCCAGGUGUAGCGGUGAAAUGCGUAGAUAUCUGGAGGAAUACCGGAGGCGAAGGCGGCAUCCUGGACCGGCAUUGACGCUGAGGAGCGAAAGCCAGGGGGGCAAACGGG
RNAcentral lists this ribosomal RNA (253 nucleotides) under uncultured bacterium. RNAcentral describes it as "partial 16S ribosomal RNA". It matches the Rfam family "Bacterial small subunit ribosomal RNA", at positions 524 to 776 of the family's 1533-position model. The record is from RNAcentral.